CCUACGGGUGGCAGCAGUGAGGAAUAUUGGUCAAGGGACGAGAGUCUGAACCAGCCAAGUAGCGUGAAGGAUGACUGCCCUAUGGGUUGUAAACUUCUUUUAUAUGGGAAUAAAAUGUUCCACGUGUGGGCUUUUGUAUGUACCAUAUGAAUAAGGAUCGGCUAACUCCGUGCCAGCAGCCGCGGUAAUACGGAGGAUCCGAGCGUUAUCCGGAUUUAUUGGGUUUAAAGGGAGCGUAGGUGGUUUGUUAAGUCAGUUGUGAAAGUUUGCGGCUCAACCGUAAAAUUGCAGUUGAAACUGGCAGUCUUGAGUACAGUAGAGGUAGGCGGAAUUCGUGGUGUAGCGGUGAAAUGCUUAGAUAUCACGAAGAACUCCGAUUGCGAAGGCAGCUCACUGGACUGCAACUGACACUGAGGCUCGAAAGUGUGGGUAUCAAACAGGAUUAGAUACCCCAGUAGUC
RNAcentral lists this ribosomal RNA (460 nucleotides) under uncultured bacterium. Its description in RNAcentral is "partial 16S ribosomal RNA". It matches the Rfam family "Bacterial small subunit ribosomal RNA", at positions 338 to 795 of the family's 1533-position model. The record is from RNAcentral.